Molecule: long non-coding RNA, 254 nt
Organism: Rosa chinensis
Lineage: Eukaryota; Viridiplantae; Streptophyta; Magnoliopsida; Rosales; Rosaceae
Exons: 3
Source: RefSeq, a predicted model, not a curated record
AGUUACUAUUGGCCUUUGUCUAACAGGUAAAGCCACUUUCAGUUAGCUAUGGACUUGGCAUGUCAGAUCAUGAUAGCGAGGGGCGGAUUGUAACAGUAGAGUUUGAUUCAUUUUACCUGAUAAGUGGAUAUGUUCCUAAUUCUGGAGAUGGUUUGAGGAGACUGACAUACAGGAUUACAGAAUGGGAUCCAUCUCUCAGUAAUUACAUGAAAGAGCUGGAAAAGUCAAAGCCGUUAAUUUUAACUGGUGAUUUG